Molecule: ribosomal RNA, 1250 nt
Filed under: uncultured bacterium
Lineage: Bacteria
Description: bacterial SSU rRNA
Rfam family: Bacterial small subunit ribosomal RNA
Source: RNAcentral
GGUGAAGCCCAGCUUGCUGGGUGGAUCAGUGGCGAACGGGUGAGUAACACGUGAGCAACCUGCCCUCCACUUCGGGAUAAGCCUUGGAAACGGGGUCUAAUACCGGAUAUGAGCUCGCAUCGCAUGGUGUGGGUUGGAAAGUUUUUCGGUGGGGGAUGGGCUCGCGGCCUAUCAGCUUGUUGGUGGGGUGAUGGCCUACCAAGGCGUCGACGGGUAGCCGGCCUGAGAGGGCGACCGGCCACACUGGGACUGAGACACGGCCCAGACUCCUACGGGAGGCAGCAGUGGGGAAUAUUGCACAAUGGGCGCAAGCCUGAUGCAGCGACGCCGCGUGAGGGAUGACGGCCUUCGGGUUGUAAACCUCGUUCAGCAGGGAAGAAGCGCAAGUGACGGUACCUGCAGAAGAAGCGCCGGCUAACUACGUGCCAGCAGCCGCGGUAAUACGUAGGGCGCAAGCGUUGUCCGGAAUUAUUGGGCGUAAAGAGCUCGUAGGCGGUCUGUCGCGUCUGGUGUGAAAUCCCGAGGCUCAACCUCGGGCUUGCAUCGGGUACGGGCAGACUAGAGUGCGGUAGGGGAGACUGGAAUUCCUGGUGUAGCGGUGGAAUGCGCAGAUAUCAGGAGGAACACCGAUGGCGAAGGCAGGUCUCUGGGCCGCAACUGACGCUGAGGAGCGAAAGCAUGGGGAGCGAACAGGAUUAGAUACCCUGGUAGUCCAUGCCGUAAACGUUGGGCACUAGGUGUGGGGCUCAUUCCACGAGUUCCGUGCCGCAGCUAACGCAUUAAGUGCCCCGCCUGGGGAGUACGGCCGCAAGGCUAAAACUCAAAGGAAUUGACGGGGGCCCGCACAAGCGGCGGAGCAUGCGGAUUAAUUCGAUGCAACGCGAAGAACCUUACCAAGGCUUGACAUGUACGAGAAAGCCCCCGAGACGGGGUUCUCUUUGGACACUCGUACACAGGUGGUGCAUGGUUGUCGUCAGCUCGUGUCGUGAGAUGUUGGGUUAAGUCCCGCAACGAGCGCAACCCUCGUCCUAUGUUGCCAGCGGGUUAUGCCGGGGACUCAUGGGAGACUGCCGGGGUCAACUCGGAGGAAGGUGGGGAUGACGUCAAAUCAUCAUGCCCCUUAUGUCUUGGGCUUCACGCAUGCUACAAUGGCCGGUACAGAGGGCUGCGAUACCGUAAGGUGGAGCGAAUCCCAAAAAGCCGGUCUCAGUUCGGAUUGGGGUCUGCAACUCGACCCCAUGAAGUCGGAG